This 293-nucleotide ribosomal RNA is filed under the name uncultured soil bacterium. RNAcentral describes it as "partial 16S ribosomal RNA". It matches the Rfam family "Bacterial small subunit ribosomal RNA", at positions 1077 to 1368 of the family's 1533-position model. The record is from RNAcentral.
GGGUUAAGUCCCGCAACGAGCGCAACCCUCGUUCCAUGUUGCCAGCGCGUAAGGGCGGGGACUGAGGGGAGACUGCCGGGGUCAACUCGGAGGAAGGUGGGGACGACGUCAAAUCAUCAUGCCCCUUAUGUCUUGGGCUUCACGCAUGCUACAAUGGCCGGUACAAUGGGUUGCGAUACUGUGAGGUGGAGCUAAUCCCAAAAAGCCGGUCUCAGUUCGGAUUGGGGUCUGCAACUCGACCCCAUGAAGUCGGAGUCGCUAGUAAUCGCAGAUCAGCAACGCUGCGGUGAAUA